AGCUUUUUUAGUUAAAUUUAACGUUGGUUUUGAAGGAACUGAAGAUUUUUAAGCAU
RNAcentral lists this transfer RNA (56 nucleotides) under Oribatula sp. XFX. Its description in RNAcentral is "tRNA-Phe". The record is from RNAcentral. Lineage: Eukaryota; Metazoa; Arthropoda; Arachnida; Sarcoptiformes; Oribatulidae.